UGCAAGUCGAACGGUGAAGCCCAGCUUGCUGGGUGGAUCAGUGGCGAACGGGUGAGUAACACGUGAGCAACCUGCCCCUGACUCUGGGAUAAGCGCUGGAAACGGCGUCUAAUACUGGAUACGAACCACGAAGGCAUGUUCAGUGGUUGGAAAGAUUUAUUGGUUGGGGAUGGGCUCGCGGCCUAUCAGCUUGUUGGUGAGGUAAUGGCUCACCAAGGCGUCGACGGGUAGCCGGCCUGAGAGGGUGACCGGCCACACUGGGACUGAGACACGGCCCAGACUCCUACGGGAGGCAGCAGUGGGGAAUAUUGCACAAUGGGCGCAAGCCUGAUGCAGCAACGCCGCGUGAGGGAUGACGGCCUUCGGGUUGUAAACCUCUUUUAGCA
This 386-nucleotide ribosomal RNA is filed under the name Microbacterium sp. LL59. RNAcentral's name for it is "bacterial SSU rRNA". It matches the Rfam family "Bacterial small subunit ribosomal RNA", at positions 56 to 441 of the family's 1533-position model. The record is from RNAcentral. Lineage: Bacteria; Bacillati; Actinomycetota; Actinomycetes; Micrococcales; Microbacteriaceae.